Molecule: long non-coding RNA, 570 nt
Organism: Vicia villosa (hairy vetch)
Lineage: Eukaryota; Viridiplantae; Streptophyta; Magnoliopsida; Fabales; Fabaceae
Exons: 3
Source: RefSeq, a predicted model, not a curated record
GGAAAUGUCUCCCAUAAUUUUUCACUAAAACCCUAGCCUCCUUUCCAACACAAACAGUAUUUUGUUGUUUUUUCUUUCCAAGAUACAGUCGUUGCCGAAACUUCCUCCUACGAAGCAACCUCCUCUGAGAUCCUACCUCCUCCGACGAAGCGACCUCUUCCGAGGACCCUACCACCGACGACGACCACCAUCCUGCCGUCACGACCCUACCUCUGACGAUGACCACCAUCCUGCCGUCACGACCAUACCUCCAACAACGACCACCCUUCUGCCGUCACCACCCUUCGACCUUCUCAGCAACUUUUCUCUGCGCGUUUGUGAAUCUCAAGUCAGGAUUAUCUACAAAUGCUCGCGUGUCUUUGAGGUAUUUGAUGAUCCUACAGAAUUAACACAAGAUGAUUUGUAUGAUUUGUGAUUCCGUUGGGAAAAAUGUUUCUUUGAGUUGUAUUAGAUGCAGAUUUUAAGCCGCAUUUCUACUUAUUGUAAAGAUAUUAUAAGUUUACUAAUAAUUAUUACUCAUAUUUGAUCUAUGAAUAUGUAUGAAUGAAGUUUAAGAGAGUUGUAGACUAA